GAGUUGUAAUUUGAAGAGGCGUUUUCUGAGGUUCUGAUCAGUCCAAGUCCUUUGGGAUAAGGCAUCACGGAGGGUGAGAAUCCCGUUCGGUUGAUCAGAUCUUCUUUACGAUACGUCAUCAAAGAGUCAAGUUGUUUGGGAAUGCAGCUUAAAAUGGGAGGUAAAUUUCUCCUAAGGCUAAAUAACGGCGAGAGACCGAUAGCGAACAAGUACCGUGAGGGAAAGAUGAAAAGAACUUUGAAAAGAGAGUUAAAUAGUACGUGAAAUUGUUGAAAGGGAAACGAUUGAAGCCAGUCGUACCGGCGGGUAAUCAGCCUUUUGGGUGUGAUUAUGUGGAGCGUGAGGAGCUAAUCGCCUUCAUCUUUGCAUAUUCGUGCACUUUGGGUGUACUUGCUCGUGUGGUAGGUUAACAUCAAUUUUGAUCAUCAUAAAAUGAUUGAAGGAAUGUAGCUUCGAUCUCGUAUUGAAGUGUUAUAGCCUUUGGUAGAUGUGAUAAUCGGGAUUGAGGAUUGCAACGGAUACCCUUCGGGGCUACCCGUCUGAUCUCUGAAAGUUGCUCUGGUGCUGAAAGCUUGCUU
This 578-nucleotide ribosomal RNA is filed under the name Glomeromycota sp. RNAcentral's name for it is "partial large subunit ribosomal RNA". It matches the Rfam family "Eukaryotic large subunit ribosomal RNA", at positions 140 to 640 of the family's 3401-position model. Lineage: Eukaryota; Fungi; Glomeromycota. The record is from RNAcentral.